UGCCUACGGGAGGCAGCAGUGGGGAAUAUUGGGCAAUGGGCGCAAGCCUGACCCAGCAACGCCGCGUGAAGGAAGAAGGCUUUCGGGUUGUAAACUUCUUUUGUCAGGGACGAAGCAAGUGACGGUACCUGACGAAUAAGCAUCGGCUAACUCCGUGCCAGCAGCCGCGGUAAUACGGGGGAUGCGAGCGUUAUCCGGAUUUAUUGGGUUUAAAGGGUGCGUAGGCGGCGCUUCAGGUCAGCGGUGAAAUACCGGGGCUCAACCCCGGGGCUGCCGUUGAAACCGGAGCGCUAGAAUUCCGAUGC
Molecule: ribosomal RNA, 305 nt
Filed under: uncultured bacterium
Lineage: Bacteria
Description: bacterial SSU rRNA
Rfam family: Bacterial small subunit ribosomal RNA
Source: RNAcentral